RNAcentral lists this ribosomal RNA (303 nucleotides) under uncultured bacterium. RNAcentral describes it as "partial 16S ribosomal RNA". It matches the Rfam family "Bacterial small subunit ribosomal RNA", at positions 507 to 809 of the family's 1533-position model. The record is from RNAcentral.
AGCAGUCGCCGCGGGAAUACGUAGGUGGCAAGCGUUGUCCGGAAUUAUUGGGCGUAAAGCGCGCGCAGGCGGAUAGGUCAGUCUGUCUUAAAAGUUCGGGGCUUAACCCCGUGAUGAGAUGGAAACUGCCAAUCUAGAGUAUCGGAGAGGAAAGUGGAACUCCUAGUGUAGCGGUGAAAUGCGUAGAUAUUAGGAAGAACACCAGUGGCGAAGGCGACUUUCUGGACGAAAACUGACGCUGAGGCGCGAAAGCCAGGGGAGCGAACAGGAUUAGAUACCCCAGUAGUCCCUGUCUCUUAUACA